Molecule: ribosomal RNA, 109 nt
Filed under: Candidatus Wolfebacteria bacterium GWA1_42_9
Lineage: Bacteria; Candidatus Wolfeibacteriota
Source: RNAcentral
UGCUGGUGUUUUACCAAUGAGUGUCCCACCUCUUCCCAUUCCGAACAGAGAAGUGAAAGCUCAUUGGCCCGAUGAUACUCCUUUGGGGGAAAGUAGGGUAUGCCAGCAU